RNAcentral lists this ribosomal RNA (451 nucleotides) under uncultured bacterium. Its description in RNAcentral is "partial 16S ribosomal RNA". It matches the Rfam family "Bacterial small subunit ribosomal RNA", at positions 28 to 507 of the family's 1533-position model. The record is from RNAcentral.
AGCGAACGCUGGCGGCAUGCCUAACACAUGCAAGUCGCACGGGGGGGCUUCGGCCUCCCAGUGGCGGACGGGUGAGGAACGCGUAGGGACCUGUCGAGGGGUGGGGGAUAACCGCGGGAAACUGCGGCUAAUACCGCAUGACGCCGCGGCGUGACAGCCGGGGCCAAAGGCGAAAGCCGCCCGCCGAGGGGCCUGCGUCCGAUUAGCUGGUUGGCGGGGUAGCGGCCCACCAAGGCGUCGAUCGGUAGCUGGUCUGAGAGGGUGAUCAGCCACACCGGGACUGAGACACAGCCCGGACUCCUACGGGAGGCAGCAGUGGGGAAUAUUGGACAAUGGGCGCAAGCCUGAUCCAGCAAUGCCGCGUGGGUGAAGAAGGUCUUCGGAUUGUAAAGCCCUUUCGGCGGGGACGAUGGUGACGGUACCCGCAGAAGAAGCCCCGGCUAACUUCGUG